Molecule: long non-coding RNA, 1097 nt
Organism: Ananas comosus (pineapple)
Lineage: Eukaryota; Viridiplantae; Streptophyta; Magnoliopsida; Poales; Bromeliaceae
Exons: 3
Source: RefSeq, a predicted model, not a curated record
GUUUAGUUAACUAUAUGUUAAAUACUUUAUCCUAAUUAAUUUUUAAUAUUUUUACCUCUAUUAUAUUGUAGUGUUCUAAAGGUUUGGAUAGAAUUUGCUACAGUAUUAGUGAUUGGUCGACACAUCUGGUAGUGUCGGAUUGAGUCGGAGUCAUUUCUACACGAAAUGGACGCAGAAAUAGACUUGGCGCACUCAAAGGAGCAAAACUAGAGUUUUGCUGGUUUUGGGCACCCAGAACUUGAGUGCUGGUUUGAGCAGAUCUGGAAGCCAAUUCGGAUCCGGAUUUCGGGCGCCCGGUUGUGGGUCCAAAAGUUCAUCUCGUGAAUAUCAUUUGAACUGACACGUGGCUGGUGGUAGGUGAGAUCCGCCGGACCAGGUUUCGGGCGCAGCACACUACGGGCAGAGGAACCGAUGAGGAGCAAUUGUGCAGCCUGGAGGUUUCGGACGCCCAGAACAUGGUUUUAGACGCCCGAAACUGUGCGUUUCUGCAGGGGCAAUAGAGAAGCUAUAUUUUGCAUCUUAGCCCCUCAAAUCACUCCAAAUUCCACAAUUUGCUUACUUUCCACUUCAAAGACGGCAGUUUCAGCAGAAUUCCAGCAGCGACCUUCGGCGUUUCGGCUCGUGUGUGACGUAGGAGGGUCGAAUUACUGUAAAACUUAGUUUGGUGAUUAGUUGACUUCUUGGAGAAUUCGUGGAGCAAAUUUGACAGAAAUUCAUUGAGGUUUGUAUAGUCAAUUUCGUGUUCUUCUGAGAUGCUGGUAUUUACGAGCUGAAGCUGAGUUUUAUUGGUUUUCUUGAAUCAAACCUGGGAGAAAGCUGGAUUUCGGACCUGAAGAUAGUACUCCAUCAUACUUCACUACUGUUGGGACCUUUCUUCACCUGAAUUGAGCUUUGGAAGACUCGCUGAGAGCUUAUUGCUGGUUGGUUGCUGGUCCAGGGGUGGUUUCGGCUGUGUUUCCCAACGGCUUCGCGACUUCUAGCUGUGUCGGAUAUUACGCUAGAGGUGGGUUAAUGAUGCUUACCGAAAUUUUCGGAUCUCCUUCUAAGUUUAGUAGUUGACAGCAUGUAUAUUUAGUUUUUUUGUAUAUCUUGUAAUU